Trichobilharzia regenti is the source of this 76-nucleotide non-coding RNA. Lineage: Eukaryota; Metazoa; Platyhelminthes; Trematoda; Strigeidida; Schistosomatidae. The record is from Rfam.
AGCCCUCUGUAUCCGUGCUGAGAUUUCGUCGGAGAUAAACCCAUGGGCUGAUGAUACUUCCCAGACAAGUGAAGCU